RNAcentral lists this unclassified non-coding RNA (334 nucleotides) under uncultured fungus. Its description in RNAcentral is "partial contains small subunit ribosomal RNA, internal transcribed spacer 1, and 5.8S ribosomal RNA". The stretch from base 1 to 73 matches the Rfam family "Eukaryotic small subunit ribosomal RNA", at positions 1759 to 1831 of the family's 1831-position model. Lineage: Eukaryota; Fungi. The record is from RNAcentral.
GCAAACUUGGUCAUUUAGAGGAAGUAAAAGUCGUAACAAGGUUUCCGUAGGUGAACCUGCGGAAGGAUCAUUACCGAUGGUGCAGUCGAGCCGGGCAGCUCUGCGCAAACGGGGCUGCCUGAGGUUCCUCCCAUUUCCCACCCUUGCAUACCGAACUUGACUGUUGCCUUGGCGAGCCGACGCCUAGCGGCGUCUCCCCCGGACUCCGGGGCGGCGUGCUCGCCGAAGGACCGUUGAACCCGACCUGAAUUUAGUGGUUUGUCUGAGUAAAGCUUUAAUUAUCAAAACUUUCAACAACGGAUCUCUUGGUUCUGGCAUCGAUGAAGAACGCAGC